RNAcentral lists this ribosomal RNA (709 nucleotides) under uncultured bacterium. RNAcentral describes it as "bacterial SSU rRNA". It matches the Rfam family "Bacterial small subunit ribosomal RNA", at positions 95 to 842 of the family's 1533-position model. The record is from RNAcentral.
GCGGCGGACGGGUGAGUAACGCGUGGGAACGUGCCUUCUGGUCUGGAAUAACCCUGGGAAACUAGGGCUAAUACCGGAUACGCCCUUUUGGGGAAAGGCUUACUGCCGGAAGAUCGGCCCGCGUCUGAUUAGCUAGUUGGUGGGGUAACGGCCUACCAAGGCGACGAUCAGUAGCUGGUCUGAGAGGAUGAUCAGCCACACUGGGACUGAGACACGGCCCAGACUCCUACGGGAGGCAGCAGUGGGGAAUAUUGGACAAUGGGCGCAAGCCUGAUCCAGCCAUGCCGCGUGAGUGAUGAAGGCCUUAGGGUUGUAAAGCUCUUUUAUCCGGGACGAUAAUGACGGUACCGGAGGAAUAAGCCCCGGCUAACUUCGUGCCAGCAGCCGCGGUAAUACGAAGGGGGCUAGCGUUGCUCGGAAUCACUGGGCGUAAAGGGCGCGUAGGCGGCGUUUUAAGUCGGGGGUGGAAGCCUGUGGCUCAACCACAGAAUGGCCUUCGAUACUGGGACGCUUGAGUAUGGUAGAGGUUGGUGGAACUGCGAGUGUAGAGGUGAAAUUCGUAGAUAUUCGCAAGACACCGGUGGCGAAGGCGGCCAACUGGACCAUUACUGACGCUGAGGCGCGAAAGCGUGGGGAGCAAACAGGAUUAGAUACCCUGUAGUCCACGCCGUAAACGAUGAAUGCCAGCUGUUGGGGUGCUUGCACCGCA